GCUUGACAUGGUCUGAGUGCUCACUCUGAAGGCGCCGGGGCAAAGCGGCGCGUCCGGGCACCCAGUUCUUUUGAAGUUAAAAUACAACGCGAACUCUCCAGUGCUAGACAGUGGAUUGAAUGUUAAUUCUGCAAGAAAAAAUUUUAAACGUAAUUUUAUAUUAAUUAAAUAAUGGGCUGUAGUGGAGUUGUUUAUCCAUCCAAAGCAGCCCCAGUUCAGUUUCCUCCUAAUGCCACAAGAUAGGAAGGUCCCUUGGGGCUUCCUGGUAAUGAAUGACCCGAGAGUAACACCACCACAACCUGAGGGAAAAGGAGAGUCGUUUCCCUGACCACGAGAUCUACAGGAUUGAAAUGAAAUGUUUUGAGGUCUUCAAGCUGACUCAGGAUCCUGGAGUAUUUUUAAAAUGACGAAAAAAAAUCAAAUUAUCAAUAAGGAGUCUUUCGACACCAGGCCCUGAUAGGGUUGAGCUGGAUGGUGACUAGCACUUGUCAUUCCCAGCAAGCACAAUGCAGAGAGCAAAUGCAAAGGAAAUGCAAAGGACCUGGACUGUAUUGCAUCUCUUAUAGAAGUGCCUGGCAUAGGAUUGAUAGAUUUUAAUGACUGAAAAUGGAAAUUGAUAAAACAAACAUGUUCAAAAAGAAGACGCCUCUGCUUCAUCCAUUCCCAAAAAGCACUGUGUUGAUCAUAGGUCUAAGAAGUAUUGCCUUGUUCACUUAGUUUUUUAAAAUCUAGGAAAAAUUAAGAAGUGCACCCACUUUACAAGUCUUGUGCCAGCAGGAAAUGAAAGGAAAUGACUUAAGAAUAAUUUUAAAUGUGGAAGGAAAUAACCAGAGGAUGAUGACUAUGAAAUCUUACUUAUUUACUGUAAGUAAAAUAAGUAUUGUUAUUUUCAUAUUAAGUGCUGACAGGAAAAUACCAUAUUUCUUCUAGGUGGGUGCCCAGUAAUGGAGAAUAUGUGUAAUGUGGGCCCUAUAAGGUAGGUUCUAGAUUUUGCUCAUUUCUGAAAGUACCCAACUGUGGCAGGUGAUGAUACCAUAACUUAUGAAGAAUUAAAACUAAUUGGGUUCAAAUCCCCACUUCUCCAAAUAUGUGAACUUGGCCAAAUUACUUAACUUACUUGAAACACUGUCAAAGUGGCUUAAACACUCCAAACAUCUGUCAAAAUAUGAGCAUAUAUUGACCUUGUUGAGUCAUUGUGAAGCUUAAACUGAACUGAUAGAUGUAAAAUUCUUAGCCAAGAGUAGACUUUCAGCAGAUAUUAACUAUUAUUAGAGCAAGAUGUUUUGAGUAAGAUAUUUCAAAUAAGUCCUUAAAUAAGAUAUUUAUUGAGAAUAAUCAGUAUUGUUUUUCCUGGUGAUUCUGUUUUCUUCAUGAAACACAAGCUAAAGUAUUUCCUUUGAGGAUAGUUUUAAAUUGUCCUUAUUUGGCAGAAAAUUAUUACUUUAAAGAGCAUGCAAAUAAUAAAUGAAGACUAAUCAAAUUUUAAUUAAGCAUCAAAACAUAAAAAUCAAUGAGCUUUUUAAAUCAUCAGAUUGUUUUAACACUUUUGUUUUCUUUCUUCUAGAUAACUUUAAAUUUUCUCUGUUUUAAUUUAUAUGAUAGAAAUGAUGUGUAGAUUUUUUUCUUGGCUGCACCCAUGGCAUGUGGGAGUUCCCAGGCCAGGGAUGGAAUUUGCACUGCAGCUGUGGCCUGUGCCACAGCUGUGGGGCAACUCCAGAUCCUUAAUCCACUGUGCCAUACAGGAAUUCCCUGAUGUGUAGAUAUAUUUAAAAAAUCAUUUUGGUAAAAAAAUGGCUUUCCAUUAUAAAAUACUGUUUUUUAUUUCUGUAUUUUAUCAUAACUUGAGGAUUUAAGAAUCUUAUUUGAUAUAUUUACUGUUUUUCCUCCAACUCCUUGAUAAACUCCUUUUUUUUUUUUUUUUUUUUUUUCCCUUUCAGGGCCUUACCUGCGGCAUAUGGAAGUUCCCAGGCUAGGGGUCGAAUCAGAGCUACAGCUGCUGGCCUACACCAAAGCAACAGAAAUUGCUGGAUCCCAGCUGUCUGCGACCUAUACCAUUGCUCAUGGGUUGGGGAUCUGGCAUUGCUCUGAGCUAUGGUGUAGGUCAAAGAUGCAGCUCAGAUCCUGAGUUGCUGUGGCUGUGGUACUGGCCGGCAACUGUAGCACGUAUUUGACCCCUAGCCUGGGAACCUCCAUAUGCCGGGGAUGUGGGCUUAAAAAAAACAGAAAUAAAAACAAACAAAUGAAAAAACAAAUUGGUGAAAACCACUUAGAAUGAAUUUAUUAGAAUGACCAUUCUGAGCCUUAAGCCUCAAUUGUGUUUGACUUUCUCUUCUCAGCAUUCUCCUCUUUGCUAUAUUUCUGUCUAGCAUUUCUGUUACUAGUAUUCUCCCUAGUAACUUCUUAUACUUUUAGGAACAAAAACAUUCAUUGGUACUGUUAUAAUAGGAGUACAGCCUUGGGGACACUGAAAGCAUGGGAAAGAAAUGUAAAUCAUAGGUACGUUUCUCCAGGAUUCAGAUUAAAUUAAUUAAUAAAGAAUAUGCAUGAAAUGUUUAAGUGAAUUUAUUAAACAGCAUGGGAAAUAAAUUUAAACAUAUAAUGGCUAUGAAUGCUGAAUGUAUGGGGAGUAAAGAAAAGACUAGUCAUUUAAGCAAAGGUUUCUAGAAAAGGGAAGUUUGUGUUUUGAUUUCAAAGGCAACAGUGGAGUUCCCGUCGUGGCGCAGUGGUUAACGAAUCCGACUAGGAACCACGAGGUUGCGGGGUUCGGUCCCUGCCCUUGCUCAGUGGGUUAACGAUCCGGUGUUGCCGUGAGCUGUGGUGUAGGUUGCAGACGCGGCUCGGAUCCCGCGUUGCUGUGGCCCUGGCGUAGGCCGGUGGCUACAGCUCCGAUUCAACCCCUAGCCUGGGAACCUCCAUAUGCCGCGGGAGCGGCCCAAGAAAUAGCAACAACAACAACAACAAAACAACAACAAAAAAGAC
Molecule: long non-coding RNA, 2979 nt
Filed under: Sus scrofa (pig)
Lineage: Eukaryota; Metazoa; Chordata; Mammalia; Artiodactyla; Suidae
Description: lncRNA (ENSSSCG00030060874.1)
Source: RNAcentral